This is a non-coding RNA of Rattus norvegicus (Norway rat), 878 nucleotides long. NCBI's taxonomy places the organism in Eukaryota, Metazoa, Chordata, Mammalia, Rodentia, Muridae. The record is from RefSeq and is a predicted model, not a curated record.
UACUUUGUUUUUAUUACAGGGCAUGGCUACCAGGAACAAACAUGAAAGGAAAGAACUUGUCACAAGCUUAAACAGGACUUGAGUCUAGGAAGUGAAAUUCCACCAACAGAAAAGCUCCCCUUGACAAUAGCAUUUCUCCUCAGUGGCUGAAUCAUUCUUCAUUCUUAUCAAUGACAUAUGAAGUUUGAGCUGCUUCCUGAUGAGUCCAUUGCAGCCAGGCUUUGGUACAGAAAAUCACCGUCCUGUCUACAAUCAACUAGAGACCAUCAGAGAACGCUGGUUAGUCCACCAGUCACGACAAGGGAAGUGAAGAGCAGCUGGCAUAUUGUAGGUGGUAUGAAGGUCUGUUUAGUAUAAAGGCCUGGAAGGAGAAUGGCCUGAGUUUGAAAUCUAGCACUUCCUCCUUCCAACUAUGUGACAUCUGGCAGGUUACAUAUCCUCCAUUGUCUCACCUGGAAAUAACUGUCACAUCAUCUAGGUGACGGUAUUCUUUUGGCUCAGCAUGUAACUCAUGCACAACUCUUCAAUAAACAGAGGUGGCUGGCAUUGCUUUGGUAAUUUCCAGAAUGGAGUCUUUGGCAUGCGAGAGCCAUGGCUUACAUCUCACUGAAGAGCCUGAUGCAAGCUUUAACAAACUUCAAAUGCUAUGGGCAAUUUAGAAGACACAAAGUGAUCUUAUUCUGACCUAGGAAAAUGUUUAGGCUAAUUCAGACAUUGGAACACUUAGAUCAUAAAACUAGCAAUCAGCAAGGUUUCUGAGUGUGGAGAUAAUAAAUAGGUUUUUAACUUCAUGAACUUGUAAUUCCUUUAGUGUAAGGACAUUCUUACACCUUUUCAUACUCAACUCAUUUGUGUGUGUGUGUGUGUGUGUGUGUGUG